This is a long non-coding RNA of Strigops habroptila (Kakapo), 1741 nucleotides long. Lineage: Eukaryota; Metazoa; Chordata; Aves; Psittaciformes; Psittacidae. The record is from Ensembl.
UGGGUUUUUCUGGGUAUAUCAAGAGUUUUCACCAAUAGCCAGUCACUCGUUCUGAUGAUUGUGGUCUUCUGGCCUACAGUCUGAAAGUCGUAGCAUGUCUAACCUUGCUAAAAUUCUUUGUUUCAUGUGUACCAGUGAUUUCUUUGGAAGUCUUGGUUGAUUCAGGUAGUCAAGUUAAGCUUGCAGCAACCACUCACAGUCUGUAUUGCUCACAAAGUACAACAUUUGUUUGACAGGAGUUAUGUGCCUAAAUGCUCAUCUGGUGUUUCUUGGUUCAUUUUCCUUUCCACUUGCGCUUUCCACUUUCCUUUCCAUUCGCUUUCCACUUGUGCUUUCCACUUUCUUAACUCUUAAGAAACCUUACCUCUUCCUUGCAAGACUGUUCCAUGUGAUAAAAUCAUCCUGUCUUAUUCCUUAAAAUUCCCAAAGUCUUUUAGCAACUUCAAUAAAUAGGAUAAAGGCCUGUCCUGAAGACGUGGUAGACAAAUAAGGGAAGGGGGAUUUGCAGGGAGCUUUGUGUUUGAUUGCUUUUAGCUCCUGGUUAAUGGUUGAACUCUGAUUGUGCUAACAACCUGGAAUGUGUGGGAGUCCUGGGAAGGAAGGCGGAGGCUUGCCAAAAUACCUGGAAGAACAUUCAAAAUAGAAAAGGAAGCAUGGGAGGGGCAGAAGCAAAGGCUAUCAGGAAGAGAUUAACUUUGCCCAACGGCUGCUUUUGGCAGGGCAAGGAGAGAUGGGGCAAGCAGCAUCAUGUGUGGCCCCUCAGGAGAUGGUAUUUUAAAUUUACUGUACACCGCUAUUUAUAAUUGUGACCAAUCAAACAUACUUCAGUCCAUUUUGCUAUUCAUAUUACUUUUCUUUAAACUCCUGUUUAAAGAUAAGAAAAAGUCAUGUUUGAGUUACGUCCCCCUCUGUCCCAAAUUGUCGCUUAUGUAAACUGUACUGUUGGCAGUCAUAGAAUAGAGACAAGGUUCAUGACCUCUGCCAAAGGAGAGGCUGUUUUGCUGGGGAUAGAAUACAGAGAGCUAAGGACAAUUAAAGUUUUUUAAACAGUUACUAAUUACAAACAUUUUUUGGAGUUCAGGUUAAGGAAGGAGAUGCAUUUAGAUAAGGAAACAAUAAAUGUUUAAAACAAGGCAUGUAAUUGUUGCUGCUGCCUUCUCCAAUUUGCUAAAUUGUUCUAAAAACCAUUUGUGCCAUGGUAAGUAUGCUAUGUGAUCAGCAUUACAGUGAUUAAUUUUGUAAGCAUUGGUAGUUUCAAGAUGUAGGCUCUUCUGCUAGCCAUCAAUGUUAUCUACUGUCCUACUAAAAAAAUCAGGAAUAUAUUAAAUGUCAAUAGUAUCACUCCACAGCAUUUUAGAAACCAUUAACCAGGCACUGUAAGGCCACUGUUGCAAAAGUAACUUCAGAAAAACAUUUAGAGAACUAAGAGAUAAAGUUUUUAAACACUCAGUAAGGAAACAUACACCCAGCACAGUGUCAGCUGAGUGAUCUGACACACACCUGGAAGUAAGGCUGAAUUUCCACUCCUUAUGCCUUGGUUCUGCCUGAAUGCAAUAUUCUAUUACGUGCUGAUGACUGAGCCUGUCUGUAGCUGGCAGAAAAUGACAAGUUACCUCCUCAGUUUUGCUGUUUGGAACUUUUAGGCUGCAGUUGUCACUUGAAGACUACAGUAUGCCAUGCACAGGCAUGUUAAUUAUUAACUAUUGCUACAAGGAGACUUUUUCAAUAAAACGUCUGAAUG